UUUGACGGAGAGUUUGAUCCUGGCUCAGGACGAACGCUCGCGGCGUGCUUAACACAUGCAAGUGGAACGAUGAUGCCCAGCUUGCUCGGCGGAUUAGUGGCGAAGGGGUGAGUAAUACCUGAGUAACCUCCCGUUGACUCUGGGAUAAGCCUGGGAAACUGGGUCUAAUAGUGGAUACUACCUCUAACCGCAUGGUGGGUGGUGGAAAGGGUUUUACUGGUUUUGGAUGGGCUCACGGCCUAUCAGCUUGUUGGUGGGGUAAUGGCUCACCAAGGCGACGACGGGUAGCCGGCCUGAGAGGGUGACCGGCCACACUGGGACUGAGACACGGCCCAGACUCCUACGGGAGGCAGCAGUGGGGAAUAUUGCACAAUGGGCGGAAGCCUGAUGCAGCGACGCCGCGUGAGGGAUGACGGCCUUCGGGUUGUAAACCUCUUUCAGUAGGGAAGAAGCGAGAGUGACGGUACCUGCAGAAGAAGCGCCGGCUAACUACGUGCCAGCAGCCGCGGUAAUACGUAGGGCGCAAGCGUUGUCCGGAAUUAUUGGGCGUAAAGAGCUCGUAGGCGGUUUGUCGCGUCUGCUGUGAAAGCCCGGGGCUCAACCCCGGGUCUGCAGUCGGUACGGGCAGACUAGAGUGCAGUAGGGGAGACUGGAAUUCCUGGUGUAGCGGUGAAAUGCGCAGAUAUCAGGAGGAACACCGAUGGCGAAGGCAGGUCUCUGGGCUGUUACUGACGCUGAGGAGCGAAAGCAUGGGGAGCGAACAGGAUUAGAUACCCUGGUAGUCCAUGCCGUAAACGUUGGGCACUAGGUGUGGGGGACAUUCCACGUUUUCCCCGCCGUAGCUAACGCAUUAAGUGCGCGGCCUGGGGAGUACGGCCGCAAGGCAAAAACACAUUGGAAUUGACGGGGGCCCGCACAAGCGGCGGAGCAUGCGGAUUAAUUCGAUGCAACGGGAAGAACCUUACCAAGGCUUGACAUUCACCGGACGGCCCCAGAGAUGGGGUUUCGCUUCGGGGCUGGUGGACAGGUGGUGCAUGGUUGUCGUCAGCUCGUGUCGUGAGAUGUUGGGUUAAGUCCCGCAACGAGCGCAACCCUCGUUCUAUGUUGCCAGCACGUGAUGGUGGGGACUCAUAGGAGACUGCCGGGGUCAACUCGGAGGAUGGUGGGGAUGACGUCUAAUCAUCAUGCCCCUUAUGUCUUGGGCAUCACGCAUGCUACAAUGGCCGGUACAAAGGGUUGCGAUACUGUGAGGUCGAGCUAAUCCCAAAAAGCCGGUCUCAGUUCGGAUUGAGGUCUGCAACUCGACCUCAUGAAGUCGGAGUCGCUAGUAAUCGCAGAUCAGCAACGCUGCGGUGAAUACGUUCCCGGGCCUUCUACACACCGCCCCUCAAGUCACGAAAGUUGGUAACACCCGAAGCCGGUGGCCUAACCCCUUGUGGGAGGGAGCCGUCGAAGGUGGGACUGGGGAUUGCGACUAAGUGGUAACAAGGUAGCCGUACCGGAAGGUGCGGCUGGAUCACCUCCUUUCUAAGGA
This 1534-nucleotide ribosomal RNA is filed under the name Kocuria sp. WN036. RNAcentral's name for it is "bacterial SSU rRNA". It matches the Rfam family "Bacterial small subunit ribosomal RNA". The record is from RNAcentral. Lineage: Bacteria; Bacillati; Actinomycetota; Actinomycetes; Micrococcales; Micrococcaceae.